Molecule: ribosomal RNA, 534 nt
Filed under: Thrissacanthias penicillatus
Lineage: Eukaryota; Metazoa; Echinodermata; Asteroidea; Paxillosida; Astropectinidae
Description: partial 12S ribosomal RNA
Source: RNAcentral
CUAAAUGAUACAUGCAAGCUAAUUAGCAACACAGUGAGUAAACUUCCCCUUGUCCUAUAAAGAAACAAAUUUUACCUCCCACGGUAUCAGACAUUAACCAUUAAUUCUAUGACACCUAGCACUCCACAUCUGCAGUACCUAAUAUUAUACAAUAAGUCAAAGCUUGAUAUAGUUAUAGAUUUUAGAGUCGGUAAAUUAUGUGCCAGCCACCGCGGUUAUACAUAAAACUCAAAUCAAGAAAACUUCGGUUCAAAGGUGGCUAGAGCAAACUUUAUUAAGGCAGACAUUAACUUUAGCACUAACAAGCUUCCACAGUAUUCUAAUUUCAACAUUAACAUCACCUUAUACCUUCACUCAAACCACUAAAGCUCAAAAAUAAACUGGGAUUAGAUACCCCACUAUAUGAGCAGUAAAAACCAACAACACCAGAGAACUACGAAUUAAAAUUUAAAACUCAAAAGACUUGGCGGUCUUUUAGAUCUUCCUGGAGGAGCUUGCUAUCUAACCGAUAACCCACGAAAAACCWUACCCAGC